RNAcentral lists this ribosomal RNA (747 nucleotides) under Triticum aestivum (bread wheat). Its description in RNAcentral is "partial small subunit ribosomal RNA". Lineage: Eukaryota; Viridiplantae; Streptophyta; Magnoliopsida; Poales; Poaceae. The record is from RNAcentral.
AUGGUAAAAGAGAAGACAGCGGCUCUGGAGCGGGCGAAGAAAGCGACGGCGAAGGCGAAGGGAAGGGCGACCAGUCGGGGCGGAUCUUCAUCGAGGGCCGGCCUGCCGCAGGGCUGGAUCCAGGGCGACUGGAUCCGCUCAAUGAUUCGUCAAGAGGACCUUGAUGACCUGGCCAAUGGAGGAAUGAUCCCCCAUGGAUCGGCGCGGCUCCCGGGGAAGGAGUCUGAGCCGCAACCUCAGGAGGGUGAGUGCGUUCUCUUGGCCACCCAUGUCGACCGCGGGUUUUCUUUGCCGCCUCACCCUUUCUUUCGGGGAUUUCUGAAUUUCUUUGGGGCGCAACUCAACCAUUUCACACCCAACAUCAUCGUGUACCUCGCUGCUUUCGUGUCUUUGUGCGAGAAUUUCUUGGGUUGUCGGCCUCAUUGGGGUCUUUUCAAGCACAUUUUUACCUGUCGCUCCCAGACGGUGAAAAAGGCCAAUCCGAGUGACGAAAGAACACAAGUGAUUCAGAUGUGUGGGGGUCUUGGGGUUCAAAUGAGGGGGAAAAGUUCUUUUCCGACCAUGAUCCUACCCGACUCGGUCCGUGGAUGGCAGUCGACCUGGUUUUACUGCAAAGACCAACCGACGCCAGGGCAGUCGACCGGACUCCCUCCUUUUUCUAUGGACCGAGUAAGGAAACCUUCCUCUUUGAAGGUGAUCCUGGAAGAGAAGGCGCAAGUUAAGGUGCUGGUCGAACGUGUUGUCUAG